This 253-nucleotide ribosomal RNA is filed under the name uncultured bacterium. RNAcentral's name for it is "partial 16S ribosomal RNA". It matches the Rfam family "Bacterial small subunit ribosomal RNA", at positions 524 to 776 of the family's 1533-position model. The record is from RNAcentral. RNAcentral also lists the same sequence under 1 other name.
UACGUAGGUGGCAAGCGUUGUCCGGAUUUAUUGGGCGUAAAGCGAGCGCAGGCGGAAGAAUAAGUCUGAUGUGAAAGCCCUCGGCUUAACCGAGGAAUUGCAUCGGAAACUGUUUUUCUUGAGUGCAGAAGAGGAGAGUAGAACUCCAUGUGUAGCGGUGGAAUGCGUAGAUAUAUGGAAGAAUACCAGUGGCGAAGGCGGCUCUCUGGUCUGCAACUGACGCUGAGGCUCGAAAGCAUGGGUAGCGAACAGG